AUCAGAUGAAUCUUUAUCACCUGAUUCUCCCAGCGGACAGUUCCCUCAGUUUACUUAUUCAGUGGAUGAAGUGGCAUCUCUUGAUAUCACCAGUUUCUCUUUUUGACCCUAGUGCUGGAAGAGAUGACUGUUUAGGAAAUUUUUGUUUCACAAGCUUGAGGAGAGAUCCCUGAAAAAGCCCAAGUGAAAGCAACGUGUAAAUUGUGCUUCAUCCUUGAAAACAAAGCAGCAGCACCUCUUUGUUCACCUUUCAUGUACCUCCUAAUAAGGUGGCUUAUAAAUCAGAUUUGCAACAACAGAAUUUGGAGGAGGCGUGUUUAAAUUGCCAGGUGUGAACUAUGCCCUGAAGUAUGACCAGAGGACCCUGCAGGAAGACACUUGCAGGGACUGUGGAGAGAUGAGGCCACUCCUCUGUGUGUGCAGCUGGGCUCAGUCAAGCCCCCAGAGUCUCCAGGAAGAAGAGCCAGCUCCAAAUCCUCAUUAUUCAGC
Molecule: non-coding RNA, 489 nt
Organism: Lonchura striata (white-rumped munia)
Lineage: Eukaryota; Metazoa; Chordata; Aves; Passeriformes; Estrildidae
Source: RefSeq, a predicted model, not a curated record